UCUAGCGGCGGUGGCCCCCAAGCUCCCGCAUCAGCGAAAAGAGCCGAGUAGAGCCGAAGAUUACACCGGCCUGUUCGGAUUGGCCGGCUCGCCGACCGGAAGAACGGCGGCACGUUCAUUGGCUGGCAAGGCAUAUAAAAGCCAAGCCACUCCUCCAUUCCCCCACCUCCGCACGAGCGGUGCGUGAGGGGGAAUGUGGAGUAAUAGUGGAUACGGGUACGUUUCCCUGGGCGAGGCCAGGGGAGGAGAGGCUUGACGAGGUCUCUGGGGAGAACUGGGAGAAAAAGGCUCCCGUGAUUAAGGAGAGCUGCUAAAAAUUCCGCGGCUUGGGUGAGCAAAGAGCCUAAGGGCGCCAUUGUGCCAAGUCGGGUUGGCGAGGCUUUGCGGGGUACAGCCCUCCAGGUGCAGAAUUUGGGGGCCCUGGCCUAAAGGAGUGACCUCACUGGGUUGACAUCCCCCCCCCCCAACAUACACUUUGUUAUAACCCCAGUGCUGUGGCAGGGAUGCGGCUGCUUGGAGAUGGGAAUUGUGGCUCACGUUUGCAUCCCAGCUGCUGCCUGUAGAGAACUCCGUAGGUGGGCUCAGGUCGUGUAUAACGUGAUCGUUACCAUCUCAGUGUCUCAAGGGAACCUCCUGAAGUUUCGGGAGGCCAAACAUCCCUCAGGUCGUCGAGUUGUCGAACACAGACUGGAACCGGUGUUUUCUAACUCCACUUCCCAGUCCAGUCUGCCCACACGGAAAACGCAGAAGAUGCCAUUCUCUCUCUCUCUCUCUCUCUCUCUCUCUCUCUCUCUCUCUCGCUGUCUCUUACAGCUGGUUAAGUGGGAUGAAGAUAAUGCCACUUUGAAAGACCGUUACGGAAAUGGAUUCGCCGUGAAGGCAUUUGCAGAGGACUCUGAAAAUACAGCUUUUUAAUUGUUAGCGAUUACCUAAUACUACUUACGUUUCAAGUUCUUUGAAAAGACAAGCAUUAAGGUGAACUACCUGGAAGAGAGAUGUAAUCGAGAAAAAGUAAAUGCUCAAGUAGAAACAAGAGGGAUGCAAAACGAGACGUUGUCCUAACAGUCAGAGCCCGGGAGCACAGCAACGUAUUCUACUAAGACCAGGAAACUAACCUUUUCCCAGUCAAGCCUGCAGGCAAGGGCAGGGCAAGGACAGAUGCUGGGAGACAAGCCAGUCACAGACAACAACCAGAUGCACAAGGACUGACUCAGUUCCAAAAGGUCUUGAAUUACUUGAAUUCUGCAUAAGCGGACAAGGAUUUACCACGACGAUGAAGAAGACGAGGAGACAGAGCCAUUCAUCACUGGAAUUGACCUCAAGCUGAUACAGCACAAAUGACAAAGAAGAAAAAACAAACCAACAACAUGAAACAGGGAACAAAGUUCUCUUCUUUGUAAUCGCUGCUGGCCAGUCCAUCUUUUCUGGUAAUGUCCUUGGCUUGAAACUCAACCCAAGCUAGGAAAUAUCAGCAAAUAAAGCAAUUUCCAACCUAAGGAAAUGGAAAGAGAAAACAAGACAGCAAAAGCCUGGAUCUACUUCAGAGAUGAAAAUAACUGUCUGCUGUCAGUUAAUUCUACGGAUCAGAAAACAGUGGCAAGGUGACCCAGGCUACAAGUAGGGCCCAUGUGAACCUCCGGGUUUCAUUCUGAUCUACAGCUAAAGACUACACCAGUAUCCUAACAGAAGCACCUCCAGUGGCCAAGAGUAAUCCAGGUCUCGAUGGAUUCACAUCACCACUGCUACAAAAUCUACUCCAAAUGCACACCCCUCUGGCCGAGAGUCAAUGGCAUUGUCCGAGUACGUGAGGAAAAGUAGCAUCUCAUUCAAAUUUAAAAGGAAUUGAUCAAAUUGGGAAAAUUUUCAACUAUCAUGCAUUAAAGCGCAAACCAUUUAAGAAGCCCUGGGGAAAUUCAUUGCAGAAGUGGAGCACCGUAAUUUCUUACAAAAUGGAACAAGUUGAGGCCUACAUUAAGCAAUUCACAGAUAAAGACCAAAGCCCACAUUUCCAACUGGGAAAACUGGAUUCAAGAUAAAGGAACAUCAAAUCACAGAGUUUUGCUUGGUACGUGUCAGUUGAGUAGUUUUGGGGCAAUUCAAUAAAAAUGACUUUCCAGGGACAAGCUGUGGUUGCUUUCUUGAUUUUAUAAUACUGUUUUUCAUCAUUACUAACCAAAUCCAAGAGUUCCUACACACA
Herpailurus yagouaroundi (jaguarundi) is the source of this 2197-nucleotide long non-coding RNA. RefSeq lists it as uncharacterized. The transcript has 4 exons. Lineage: Eukaryota; Metazoa; Chordata; Mammalia; Carnivora; Felidae. The record is from RefSeq and is a predicted model, not a curated record.